UACGUAGGGGGCUAGCGUUGUCCGGAAUCAUUGGGCGUAAAGCGCGCGUAGGCGGCUUUGCAAGUCGGGUGUGAAAUCCCCAGGCUUAACCUGGGAACUGCAUUCGAGACUGCAUUGCUAGAGUAUGGGAGAGGGAAGUGGAAUUUCCGGUGUAGCGGUGAAAUGCGUAGAUAUCGGAAGGAACAUCAGUGGCGAAAGCGACUCUCUGGACGGCAACUGACGCUGAGGCACGAAAGCGUGGGGAGCAAACAGG
Molecule: ribosomal RNA, 253 nt
Filed under: uncultured bacterium
Lineage: Bacteria
Description: partial 16S ribosomal RNA
Rfam family: Bacterial small subunit ribosomal RNA
Source: RNAcentral